UGGCUGGCUGUCUCUCUGUAUGGCUGGCUGUCUCUUUGUGUGGCUGGCUGGCUGGCUGUCUCUCUGUAUGGCUGGCUGUCUCUGGCUGGCUGUCUCUCUGUAUGGCUGGCUGUCUCUCUGUGUGGCUGGCUGGCUGUCUCUUUGUGUGGCUGGCUGGCUGGCUGUCUCUCUGUAUGUAUGGCUGGCUGUCUCUUUGUGUGGCUGGCUGUCUCUUUGUGUGGCUGGCUGGCUGUCUCUCUGUAUGGCUGGCUGUCUCUUUGUGUGGCUGGCUGUCUCUCUGUGUGGCUGACUGUCUCUUUGUGUGGCUGGCUGUCUCACCUUUCUCUCCAUUGAUGUCUCCUGGUUCUGUCUGCUCCAGAUGCAUUGCACAUGCGCAGAGCUAGGGAGCGUCUUACAAUACCUUCCCCGGGAAAGUCAGGGAACGUCACACAAUAAUCCUCAAAGGUUGUAGAAAAG
Non-coding RNA from Pelobates cultripes (western spadefoot toad), 456 nucleotides. NCBI's taxonomy places the organism in Eukaryota, Metazoa, Chordata, Amphibia, Anura, Pelobatidae. The record is from the annotation of a GenBank genome assembly.